AUUGAACGCUGGCGGCAGGCCUAACACAUGCAAGUCGAACGGUAACAGGAAGCAGCUUGCUGCUUCGCUGACGAGUGGCGGACGGGUGAGUAAUGUCUGGGAAACUGCCUGAUGGAGGGGGAUAACUACUGGAAACGGUAGCUAAUACCGCAUAACGUCGCAAGACCAAAGAGGGGGACCUUCGGGCCUCUUGCCAUCGGAUGUGCCCAGAUGGGAUUAGCUAGUAGGUGGGGUAACGGCUCACCUAGGCGACGAUCCCUAGCUGGUCUGAGAGGAUGACCAGCCACACUGGAACUGAGACACGGUCCAGACUCCUACGGGAGGCAGCAGUGGGGAAUAUUGCACAAUGGGCGCAAGCCUGAUGCAGCCAUGCCGCGUGUAUGAAGAAGGCCUUCGGGUUGUAAAGUACUUUCAGCGGGGAGGAAGGCGAUAAGGUUAAUAACCUUGUCGAUUGACGUUACCCGCAGAAGAAGCACCGGCUAACUCCGUGCCAGCAGCCGCGGUAAUACGGAGGGUGCAAGCGUUAAUCGGAAUUACUGGGCGUAAAGCGCACGCAGGCGGUCUGUCAAGUCGGAUGUGAAAUCCCCGGGCUCAACCUGGGAACUGCAUUCGAAACUGGCAGGCUAGAGUCUUGUAGAGGGGGGUAGAAUUCCAGGUGUAGCGGUGAAAUGCGUAGAUAUCGGGAGGAAUACCGGUGGCGAAGGCGACUUUCUGGACUAUAACUGACGCUGAGGCACGAAAGCGUGGGUAGCAAACAGG
RNAcentral lists this ribosomal RNA (759 nucleotides) under uncultured Enterobacter sp. Its description in RNAcentral is "bacterial SSU rRNA". It matches the Rfam family "Bacterial small subunit ribosomal RNA", at positions 28 to 776 of the family's 1533-position model. Lineage: Bacteria; Pseudomonadati; Pseudomonadota; Gammaproteobacteria; Enterobacterales; Enterobacteriaceae. The record is from RNAcentral.